RNAcentral lists this ribosomal RNA (207 nucleotides) under uncultured bacterium. Its description in RNAcentral is "partial 16S ribosomal RNA". It matches the Rfam family "Bacterial small subunit ribosomal RNA", at positions 1294 to 1500 of the family's 1533-position model. The record is from RNAcentral.
CGGACUGCAGGCUGCAACUCGCCUGCACGAAGUUGGAAUUGCUAGUAAUCGUGGAUCAGCAUGCCACGGUGAAUACGUUCCCGGGUCUUGUACACACCGCCCGUCACACCAUGGGAGUCGGUAACACCCGAAGCCUGUAGUCUAACCGCAAGGGGGACGCAGUCGAAGGUGGGAUUGAUGACUGGGGUGAAGUCGUAACAAGGUACC